UGCUGUUGAACGGUUCCCGUUUGCGUCAGAUGUGCAACCGGUUGAAGGUGUUUGUUUUCAUACGGAUGAACGUGUUGAUCGGUGGCCAAAAGAGAGGAAUCAUUUUAAGAUUCGUUAUUUAUUCGUUAAAUCGUUAAUUCUAUAAUUGCUCCUAGGACAAACAUGUUAAAAUCUCUAGGGACAGUAACCAUUAUAGCCAAUCGGUGCAAGCAGAAGCAUUUGAAGAAGGAUCGACUAAUAAAAGCUAGCCAGCUUUUACAUUUGGAGGCUGGUUAGGUGUCUUGUUUAUGCUGUUGUACUCAUCAAUUUCCAAUGUUUGCAUCGCUCGUUCCAUAUAGCUUUUAUGGAUUUUCUUUGUUUUCGAAACAUGCCGACAUUUUACGUAUCGAUAGGGUGCAGGGAUAAGAUUUCAAAGUACGAGUACGAGUUGAAUAUGUAAACGGCUUUGGUGAAAAUGGACACAGCCAAGGAAUAUGUCCAAUCCACUUUCCAAAGAGUAGUAAUUGACAAAGGAUACCGCUUGCGACGUUAAGCUUUUGGCGUGAAAAUGCGGUUGCUUAAUCGUCUUAAUUCUGUAAAAUACUUGAUCAUGAUGGCAGUAAAGUGGUUUGAUAUGGUACAAAAAUAAAAGUUGAAAAAAUCUGCCCAAUGGCUCAUCGAGACCAGCUACGACAGGCUAUAAUGAUCGAAUGCCAACGAAAGCACAUCUAGCCAUGUCUCGUACGAAUUGCAAUGAAAGCAAGGAUGAUUAGGUUUUAGAAAGGUUCCCAAAGACAUAUCAGUAAGGUGCUCCGAAGAGGGAAAGAUUGAUUGAUUCGCAUGAAUUGUUUUUAUGUAGUUGAAAAAAUAAAGAAUCCUGUCCCAACA
Molecule: long non-coding RNA, 867 nt
Organism: Armigeres subalbatus
Lineage: Eukaryota; Metazoa; Arthropoda; Insecta; Diptera; Culicidae
Exons: 3
Source: RefSeq, a predicted model, not a curated record